AAUUCUCAACCCUUCUUACUUUGUUGUUAAGGAUGGGAUUGGAUAGUGGAGGCUUGCCGGAUGUUCAACGUUCGGCUCCUCUGAAAUGCAUUAGCGGUACAACCAUUUACUUGGGCUACGCUAAGCUGUGAUAAUAUCUAAGCUGGCUGGUUCAGAGUGUUGGCAGAGUUCGGGCUUUUGAAGGGUUUUGCCUCGCGGCUCCCUUUGUGUUCUCUCUUCGGAGGGAUACCUAUGCGACUCUGUGAAAAAGUGUUGUUGCGGCUUCUUAACCGUCUCUUGAAACUGGGAUAAACCCUUUAAACUGAUU
RNAcentral lists this unclassified non-coding RNA (307 nucleotides) under uncultured Hymenopellis. RNAcentral's name for it is "sequence contains ITS2". The record is from RNAcentral. Lineage: Eukaryota; Fungi; Basidiomycota; Agaricomycetes; Agaricales; Physalacriaceae.